AUUGAACGCUGGCGGCAUGCCUUACACAUGCAAGUCGAACGGUAACGGGCCUUCGGGUGCCGACGAGUGGCGAACGGGUGAGUAAUGCAUCGGAACGUACCUUUCAGUGGGGGAUAACGUAGCGAAAGUUACGCUAAUACCGCAUAUUCUGUGAGCAGGAAAGCAGGGGAUCGCAAGACCUUGCGCUGAUUGAGCGGCCGAUGUCAGAUUAGCUAGUUGGUGAGGUAAAGGCUCACCAAGGCGACGAUCUGUAGCGGGUCUGAGAGGAUGAUCCGCCACACUGGAACUGAGACACGGUCCAGACUCCUACGGGAGGCAGCAGUGGGGAAUUUUGGACAAUGGGGGCAACCCUGAUCCAGCCAUGCCGCGUGAGUGAAGAAGGUCUUCGGGUUGUAAAGCUCUUUCGGCCGGGAAGAAAUCGCAUGGGUUAAUACCCUGUGCGGAUGACGGUACCGGCAUAAGAAGCACCGGCUAACUACGUGCCAGCAGCCGCGGUAAUC
This 500-nucleotide ribosomal RNA is filed under the name uncultured bacterium. Its description in RNAcentral is "bacterial SSU rRNA". It matches the Rfam family "Bacterial small subunit ribosomal RNA", at positions 30 to 525 of the family's 1533-position model. The record is from RNAcentral.